GCUUAUGGCCAUACCAGCCUGGGUACGCCAUCUCUGAUCUCGGAAGCUAAGCAGGGUCGGGCCUGGUUAGUACUUGGAUGGGAGACCGCCUGGGAAUACCAGGUGCUGUAAGCA
Molecule: ribosomal RNA, 114 nt
Filed under: Salmo salar (Atlantic salmon)
Lineage: Eukaryota; Metazoa; Chordata; Actinopteri; Salmoniformes; Salmonidae
Source: RNAcentral